RNAcentral lists this unclassified non-coding RNA (339 nucleotides) under Hevea brasiliensis (rubber tree). Lineage: Eukaryota; Viridiplantae; Streptophyta; Magnoliopsida; Malpighiales; Euphorbiaceae. The record is from RNAcentral.
AAAAAGGAAAAAGAAUAAAAAAGGACAUAAAAAAGCGUGAUUAUUUCAUAAUUUCAUCUGAUUUAGAGGUUGACUCCUUUUAUGUCUAAGUUCAUAAAACAAUAAAUGUAAUUUAGAAUGCAAGUCACUAACAACGUCUCUAUUGCAGUCAAAAUGGUUUGGUGAUUUAUCAUAUCGCUAAGCUAAAAGCAAAGCUGGAAACAAUAUCACGGGCUCUUCAAUAUAAAAUUACCAAUCAACAGGACACAAAGCAAGAAUUAGAUAGUGAAGAGCAUGAAGAGCAACUUGGAGGGUCUGAAGUUUUGAUUGCUAAAACUUCACAUGUUGAAAUCCAAGAUA